Molecule: transfer RNA, 75 nt
Filed under: Promethearchaeota archaeon
Lineage: Archaea; Promethearchaeati; Promethearchaeota
Also listed under: 1 other name
Description: Candidatus Lokiarchaeota archaeon (marine sediment metagenome) tRNA-Gly
Rfam family: tRNA
About the family: Transfer RNA (tRNA) molecules are approximately 80 nucleotides in length. Their secondary structure includes four short double-helical elements and three loops (D, anti-codon, and T loops).
Source: RNAcentral
GCGACUGUACGUUAGCGGUAAGACUGCAAGCCUUCCAAGUUUGUAGCGGGAGUUCAAGUCUCUCCAGUCGCACCA